GAUGAACGCUGGCGGCUUGCUUAACACAUGCAAGUUGAACGAAGUGGCGGAUGGGCGAGUAACACGUGAGGAACCUUCCUUUCACAGGGGAAUAACACUGGGAAACCAGUGCUAAUACCGCAUAGUGAAAGAUGGACUCGCGCCUGAUUAGCUCGUAGGUGAGGUAACGGCCCACCUAGGUGAUGAUAAGUAGCCGGACUGAAGGUUGAUCGGCCGCAUUGGGAAUGAGACACGGCGCAGACUCCGACGGGAGGCAGCAGUGGGGAAUAUUGGGCAAUGGCGCAAGCCUGACCAAGCAACGCCGCGUGAAGGAAGACGGUCUUCGGAUUGUAAACUUCUUUAGACAGGGACGCGGGACCUGUAGAAUAAGCCACGGCGAACUACGUGCCAGCAGCCGCGGUAAUAC
RNAcentral lists this ribosomal RNA (406 nucleotides) under uncultured bacterium. RNAcentral's name for it is "partial 16S ribosomal RNA". It matches the Rfam family "Bacterial small subunit ribosomal RNA", at positions 28 to 526 of the family's 1533-position model. The record is from RNAcentral.